GACGAACGCUGGCGGCGUGCUUAACACAUGCAAGUCGAACGGACAGACAGAGAGCUUGCUCUCUUGAAGUUAGUGGCGAACGGGUGAGUAACGCGUAAUCAACCUGCCCUUCAGAGGGGGAUAACAACGGGAAACCGUUGCUAAUACCGCGUACGAUUCAUAGACGGCAUCGUUUGUGAAUGAAAGGUGGCCUCUAUGUAUAAGCUAUCGCUGAAGGAGGGGAUUGCGUCUGAUUAGCUAGUUGGAGGGGUAACGGCCCACCAAGGCAAUGAUCAGUAGCCGGUCUGAGAGGAUGAACGGCCACAUUGGGACUGAGACACGGCCCAAACUCCUACGGGAGGCAGCAGUGGGGAAUCUUCCGCAAUGGACGAAAGUCUGACGGGAGCAAACGCCCGCGUGAGUGAUGAAAGGGUUCUUUCGGGAUUGUAAAAGCUUCUGGU
RNAcentral lists this ribosomal RNA (440 nucleotides) under Veillonella sp. oral taxon 780. RNAcentral describes it as "bacterial SSU rRNA". It matches the Rfam family "Bacterial small subunit ribosomal RNA", at positions 28 to 438 of the family's 1533-position model. Lineage: Bacteria; Bacillati; Bacillota; Negativicutes; Veillonellales; Veillonellaceae. The record is from RNAcentral.